RNAcentral lists this ribosomal RNA (497 nucleotides) under uncultured bacterium. RNAcentral's name for it is "partial 16S ribosomal RNA". It matches the Rfam family "Bacterial small subunit ribosomal RNA", at positions 28 to 507 of the family's 1533-position model. The record is from RNAcentral.
GACGAACGCUGGCGGCGUGCCUAAUACAUGCAAGUCGAACGCUGAAGAGAGGAGCUUGCUCUUCUUGGAUGAGUUGCGAACGGGUGAGUAACGCGUAGGUAACCUGCCUUGUAGCGGGGGAUAACUAUUGGAAACGAUAGCUAAUACCGCAUAACAAUGGAUGACACAUGUCAUUUAUUUGAAAGGGGCAAUUGCUCCACUACAAGAUGGACCUGCGUUGUAUUAGCUAGUAGGUGAGGUAAUGGCUCACCUAGGCGACGAUACAUAGCCGACCUGAGAGGGUGAUCGGCCACACUGGGACUGAGACACGGCCCAGACUCCUACGGGAGGCAGCAGUAGGGAAUCUUCGGCAAUGGGGGCAACCCUGACCGAGCAACGCCGCGGGAGUGAAGAAGGGUUUCGGUUCGGAAAGCUCUGUUGUAAGUCAAGAACGGGUGUGAGAGUGGAAAGUUCACACUGUGACGGUAGCUGAACAGAAAGGGACGGCUAACUACGUG